AUUGAACGCUGGCGGCAUGCUUUACACAUGCAAGUCGAACGGGGUGAGGGGGCAACUCCUCACUUAGUGGCGAACGGGUGAGUAAUGCAUCGGAACGUGUCCCGUAGUGGGGGAUAACGCCGCGAAAGCGGCGCUAAUACCGCAUACGCUCUACGGAGGAAAGCAGGGGAUCGCAAGACCUUGUGCUAGGGGAGCGGCCG
This 200-nucleotide ribosomal RNA is filed under the name uncultured bacterium. Its description in RNAcentral is "partial 16S ribosomal RNA". It matches the Rfam family "Bacterial small subunit ribosomal RNA", at positions 30 to 232 of the family's 1533-position model. The record is from RNAcentral.